Oryctolagus cuniculus (rabbit) is the source of this 4078-nucleotide non-coding RNA. Lineage: Eukaryota; Metazoa; Chordata; Mammalia; Lagomorpha; Leporidae. The record is from RefSeq and is a predicted model, not a curated record.
CGCUUCUGCGCGCACCCGCCGCAGCUGGCUCUCCUGCGGGCCCUGGUCAAGUCCUUGGGCCCCCUCGGUUCUCCCGCGGCGCACGCCAGACCGCCGAGAGUGUCGUUUAGUUCAUUUGCUCGUUAAAUGUAGACUUUUCCGCUUUCAUGAACACGCCCUUCCUGUCUGCCCGAGGCAGAGAUCUGAACACAUGAAGAGCCAUCACCAUAUGGAAAAAUGAGUGAGUUCUGUCACUGCAAUCACGAAAACCAAGACUGAGUCCCCUUUGGGAUGGGAGUGCUAAACUGGGCUCUCCCAUAAGAGAAGAAAAGAGUGUACAGCCUUGUUAGAACCCAUGAGGCCACCAGGGCCUGAUAGAACCCAUUAGGUCACUGGGCUGGAAGCUCCAGGCCCCAUGAAACUGGGCACAGAGAAUCUACAGGCUGCCAAGAUGUUUAUGGCUUGGAAAAGCCCAGCACCUGGGACAUUUCAAACUGCUGAGACAACACACUGUAAACCUCACCAAGGAGCCUUCCUGCACCUUCCCCACCCACCUGUCAGCAUCCAUGCGGCACUCUGCACCUGCCCCAACAAGCAGCUUAAGAAGGGACUCUGCCUGUUGUGCAAACAGAACGAAGCCUGGCUUCAAGCCCCCUGCUCUGUCUAGGUUCACAGCCAGAGGCAUUUUGUUGGAACUCUCCUCUGCAUGCAGUGUCGGAUCUGAUUUUCAGCCCAUGGGACUGGUUUGGAUCUUUUAUAUUCGAUGUCAAUUAAGUAGAACUCAGUUUCAAAGUAUGCCAUGCUGUUCAGAAUUAAAAGAGAAAGCAAUUCUCUCAAGGAAGAUUUGAGUCCUCAGGAUCCGUCUGGAGCCUCUUUCUUUUUCUGAUUUUCUUUCCCACCCUUAGGCAUUGCUGUUGAGUUCUCCCCAUUCUCGUCCUCAUUCAGAGGAUAACUCUUGGGGUCAAGGACUGUGGAUUUCAACUUAUGUUCAGCUUCCAGAACAUUUUGGGAAUCUAAUGACUGCUUAAUACAAAUGCCACUUGUAUGUGCUACAGCUCUGGGCUUGUGACCCUGGGAGCCAGUCAGAUCACCUCUCAGUGGACCCUAACCAACACCAACAGAACCAAUGGCCCCUGUGGGCAAUCUGUUACUGUCCGACAUGCAGCCUUGCAGACACAAAUUUUCCCUCUACCCAGGGAUGCUGGGAAUGCCAGCUGCCCUUUGAUUUCCCCUGUUCUUGCUUUCUUGAGUCAACCUUUAACUCCAGAUUGAUGCCUUGUCUCUUAAUCUGACUGUAAUUGAUUCUCUGGCUUAGUUCAACUCAAAUUGACAAUUGUGAAUAUUCAAGUAUCAGAGGCCACUUUGAUAGAAGUCAAGACAAUUGUAUAAUACUUUGUGGAGUUUCUUCCAAUAUAACCUAAAUAUCAUUUUGAGAUUUAUAAAGGUAAAUUUCUUUUGUUGUGAUAAUUGAAAAUGGAAACAUAUCUUCUUGGAAUAUGAGUUUUCUAUGGAGUUGCAUUUAAAUGCUGCCAGGAAGAUCUGAUUGUAUCAAGGGUGGCUGAAACCAAGAAGUGCUACUUUUUGUCAUCUACCAAGAAGUGUGGAGGUGGGUAGCUUCUGGCUGCAUUUAGUGGCUCAACGAUGCCAGGGCUGGUGUCUCUACAAUUCUCUCAUUUUUUUCCCUUGUGGCUACAAGCUAGUUGCUGCUGCUCUAGGCAUCAUGGACUACACUGGAAGCAGGAAGAAAAGAGGUGGCAUCAGCCAUGCUAUUCUCCCCUUCCUCAUUUUUUCAUGGCUUAUUUAUUUAUUUGAAAGGCAAAGUUAUAGAGAAUGAGAGAGAGAAAGAGAGAGAGAGAGAGAGAAUAUCUUUAUCUGCUGGCUCACUCUCCAAAUGACUGCAAAGACCAGAGCCAGGCCAGACCAAAGCCAGGAGCCAAGAGCUUAUUCUGGGUCUCCCUUGUGGGUGGCAGGGUCCCAGGGACUUGGACCAUCUUCUGCUGCCCUCUCAGGUGUAUGAGCAGGGAGCUGGAUCAGAAGUGGAGCAGCCAGGACUCCAACCGGCGCCCAUAUGGUAGACUCCAACAGGCUCCACAUUCUGUGCCACAGUGCCAGCCCCCAGUAGUAGUCCCUUUUAACAGAAAAGGAAAAAGUUUCCUAGACAACUCCUAGCAGUCUCCUUAUUACCUUUUUUGGCACUGGGUCACAUAACUACAUGCUAAGAGGUAGGCUGACUGCUUGGUCAAGGAAAUAGGAUUUCUGUGGCUGGUCUAGACAAAUUAUGACUCAUUAUUUAGGGUUGAACACACAUGGGUAUUUCAAAAUGUUCAUGAAAAAAUGGAAUUCAAAGGUAUGUUUGUUAUAGUACAAAAACUUUUUUGAAAGCCAUUCAAAGAUUUUUCAUAAUAGGCAUUUUUCCUGAACAUUUUGAAGAUCCUCUCCUGUUAUUUGAAAUAAAAUCAGGGUUUGGCUAUCAGGGAAGAAUAGUUGUUGAGCAUGAGAUGUGUGGGCCAAGGGAAGUUGAGGGCCUCUGCACCACAGUCUCUUCCUCUCCCUUCCUUUCCCAAAUGCCCCCUUUGUGCCUUUCUACCAAGAUCAGGGUUUCUCCUCCCCCUUUGCUUCUUUCCGCAUUCCUGUGGUUAUUUCCUCCUCGCUUGUGGAUGCCUCGUCCCACCACGACAUUCCCUCAGUUACGGAGAUGAGCGCUGUCCCUCGCGCUGCCCCCCUGCCCUCUGCCCUCAGAGUGGGAAAGAGCACGAAUGCUAAGCUAAGAGCUUUUUUGACUUUCCAAGGUAUGAUAUGAAAUUCUAAAAAUGUAUUAAACUUUUAAGGUUUAAAUUUCAUUUAUUCUCAUCAAAACCCAAUGUCCUGGGUUGAGGAAGACCACCCAUGCCCAGCUGACAAUAAGGCAAUAUUUGUUUUUUUUAAAAGAUUUAUUUAUUUAUUUGAAAGUCAGAGUUAAAGAGAGAGAGACAGAGAAAGACAUAGAGAGAGAGAGAGAGGUACUCCCCAACUGGCCGUAAAAGCUGGAGCUGUGCCGAUUGGAAGCCAGGAGCCAGGAGCUUCUUCUAUGUCUCCCACUGGGUGCAGUGAACCAAGGACUUGGGCCAUCUCCACCACUUUCCCAGGCCAUAGCAGAGAGCUGGAUUGGAAGUGGAGCAGCCAGGACUCAAACCGGCACCCACAUGGGAUGCCAGCACUGCAGGCAGCAGCUUUACCCACUACGCAACAGCGCCGGCCCCAAUACCCGUUUUCACUAAAGGUUGUGCUGAUGUUAAGUGUUGGCUGAUUGAAAAGAUAAAGGAGAAAAAAUUAGCAAAAUCCUUGCUAUUUCCCAGAGCAGGAAUGAGCCGAGCUCAUUCUCCAGCUCUCCUGCUUGCACAUCUGCUGGACAUCCCACCCCACUUCCUCUCCCAAGUGUCCUCCUUUGCACCCCUUUUUCCCUUUCUACUUCUGUGUCUUCUGCUGACUGGACCCUGUGUUGCACCUCGUGAUCCCUUUGAGUUCAGAAUUGCCUGCGGCUUCCCUUUCAUCAUUUCGGAUUUGCCUGAGGUAGAUGACUGCUUGCUCCAGGUUCCACUCACCACUCUGUGCUAGGGAUGAUGAGCUUUCCAGAGUGUUCUAGGGCUAAUGUGUCCCUGGCCAUGGGCCAGCAGGUACAAUGGGAAGAAUCACCAUGUUCCUAAAGUUGUAAUUAUGAAAUGCAUGAAGUUUGUGUUCCUUAAAUAGAAGGUUUCGAAAAAGAGAAAAAUGGGCUGUUCAUGAUAUGUUAAUGAAUAGACAUGGCUGUAUUCCAGUAAAACUUUAUUUACAAAAACAAAAAAAAGAGUUACUCUUCAUUUUGUAAAGAAGUUACUGAUGUAAUAUGAGAUGUGGUACUUGAACAUGAACAGUUUGAGGAGUUCUUCAAAAAUUCAUGGGAAAAGUGUAUUGUGAAAAUGGUAUGGGCAUCAAACAUUUUUGCACAAAAGUAAACUUACUCACACAAUCUCUUUUGAAGUACCCUUGUAUGUGGCUUCAAUCUCCUUUUAAAAAAAAAAUCGCAUUGGCCAGCGCCGCAGCUCACUAGGCUAAUCUUCCGCCUGCAGCGCCGGCACCCCGG